RNAcentral lists this ribosomal RNA (253 nucleotides) under uncultured bacterium. Its description in RNAcentral is "partial 16S ribosomal RNA". It matches the Rfam family "Bacterial small subunit ribosomal RNA", at positions 524 to 776 of the family's 1533-position model. The record is from RNAcentral.
UACGUAGGGUGCGAGCGUUAAUCGGAAUUACUGGGCGUAAAGCGUGCGCAGGCGGUUAUGCAAGACAGAUGUGAAAUCCCCGGGCUCAACCUGGGAACUGCAUUUGUGACUGCAUAGCUAGAGUACGGUAGAGGGGGAUGGAAUUCCGCGUGUAGCAGUGAAAUGCGUAGAUAUGCGGAGGAACACCGAUGGCGAAGGCAAUCCCCUGGACCUGUACUGACGCUCAUGCACGAAAGCGUGGGGAGCAAACAGG